Long non-coding RNA from Hippopotamus amphibius kiboko, 2239 nucleotides. RefSeq lists it as uncharacterized. Lineage: Eukaryota; Metazoa; Chordata; Mammalia; Artiodactyla; Hippopotamidae. The transcript is spliced from 6 exons. The record is from RefSeq and is a predicted model, not a curated record.
AUGAAAUGAAGGAUGAAAUUGAGUAAUGGGAAUGGUUUUGAGGCCCUGUCUCCCUUGAGAAAGCUCCUGAAUUGAUUUAUUAGAACACUAAUAUCCAGGAGAGACCUGGGACUCUCAGAGGAUAAGUGACUUGCUAACUUUCAGAGUUGGGAUUUGGACCCAGAUCUCUGACUCAAAAGCUUGAUCACUUUCCACUCAAGAGGGAGGCACACAUGUCGACAGACAAACAGCCCACAGCAAGAUAUUAACUAAGGACCCACCGUGCACACCACACUAUCAGGCAGGCAGAGGUGAGUAAACCUUUGCCCUCAAGGAUCUCAUGGCCAAGCAAGGAAGCCAAGACCUGUCUCAAUAGCUGUAACAUACGGUAGAAGAUGAUAACACCUGAAGGAAGUGCUGAGCGAAAGCUAUGGGACUUCAGAAGAGGGUUAUUUCCAAUUCUCUGUUAUUGCAAACAAAGCUGGAACGCCCUCUGUACGUGUGCUGCAGUCUCCAGAAUAGACGACUGGAAAUGGCAUCCUGUGGCUUAUACUCGUCUGCACCUUUGUUAGGUAUUGCCUAAUUGAUUAUCAGAACAUUUGGACCAAUUUACUCCCACGAGCAAUAUUUCUGUCUAUCAGACAAGCGGCGGACCCCACAGAGGACAUGUGGCACAGGCCUGUGUCCACCUGCAGGUGUCAGGGAACGCAUGCGGUGCCUCAGGUUCUGCCCAGGUCACGAGGAGGUGUGCUCGGGCCAGGCACAGCUCGCACGAUAUGUGUUGUGUGCAGGAGAGGGACUGCGCAUCUCCUGUGACCUCACACGUCUGCAGAGGAGCAUGGAGGAAUCAGGAUCAUCGGAGCAAGCUGACUGUGUGGGAUCCCUAACUGGGAGCCCUGACAAGAGAUUAGAGGCAGAGAGGAGACAGCAGCUGGGAGAAAGACACACAGACACACGAUUCCACAGGCUUUUCCAGACUAUCAGAGGGUGUGUAGCAUAAAGAAGAUGAACAAUGCCUUGUGGACCCACCCGCCACCUGGGGUUCCCACGGUGUUGCAGAGAACGGCAUUGCCCUGCUUCACCGCUCUUGCAAGGAUCCUGGUUACCGGGGCGCUUCCCAGCUCUUGGAGAAGCAGAGAACCUCCCCAUUUUCAUCGAGAUGCAGAGGGCGCCGAGGACUGAGUUGGGGCAGGGACUGGAAGGAAACAUGCAGAUAAGGGGCCUGGGAUGAUAGGAGUCAUCGUUCAGGCAGAGCUGCCGCGGACACAUCCCUUCCUUGGUUGCUGCUAACAUAGACUCUCUCCUUGGUUGACCUCAUCCUGCAGCACUGGACACACUUUUGGGAGCUUCAGACCAAUACUUAGGUCUCUUCAUCCUUGCCCAGCUCUUUGGACACGGCACAGCCCUGAGCCAGCGGACUCAGCCGGUCAUCGCUUUGUCCUCAGCAUGUAACCCUCCGUGGAGCAGACGGUCGACCCUGAGACGUUGGAUCCCUCAUCGUACAGCCCAGGGACCAACGCCUCUGACAAGCUGAGGACCCCCCCAAUAGUCAUGCUGGAUCCCUGCAAAAGGGCACUGAAGAGAGGGGAGGAGUGGAGGCUGAAAUCGCGCCUCUCUUCCCUGUGGACUGUGCGUCUCUUCUAAUCACACAAAGAUCCUGCAUAGCAGAAGCCCUGAGCCAGAACGGCCGGCGGUGCUCCCCACCCAUUCGUGAGUCCUCUAGGUGUUUCACUGUGUAGUGUAACCUUCAUAAAAUCAUGGUCUCAGGCUUAGGGGGUGCGGAAGCUCUGCAUGGUACCUAGUCUUCUGUCCCCAGCCUCAAAUGUCAUCUAAAUCCCCUGUGAACAAAGCAUACGUGCAGGUCCUGCAGCAAUCUCUCUCUCUCUCUCCUUCUUACUAACUCAUUGCUUGCCGUGUCCUCAUGGAUCAGCCAAGAAAUAAAUAUACACUGUCUUUAGUCGUUUAUCGAAUUCAUAAUAUCACUGGUAGACGUAAUCAACAGGAAAUAAAACUGAAAACAACUGCUUAUACCAAAACAUUGAAAAGUUUGUUUUUAGGUAAACAUUAAAAAAUAAAAAUCUUCUAGACAAAAUUAAGGCUUGUAGAGUUUGAGUCAGAAAAUCUGGACUUGAUAGAAACAAUAGCAAUACAAGAAAAUCCACAGUGGGUGUAUCAGCGAGGCAUUUUCAGUUACAAGGAACAGAAAGUUCAACUAAACUGGCUAAAACGGGGAGCGGGAGAGGACUUAACGGCUUGUAUA